UACAUAUUUAUAUUAGAAUCUAAUUAUUAUAUAAAUUUUAUUGGUAUGUUAACCUUUAUUUUUUAAUUCUUUCACUUAAACUAAUAAAUAAUAUAAUAUAACAUCCACAGUUAAAAUGAGUUAAAAUUAUUAAACUAUAUAAUAUUUUAUUAAAAAUAACAAAGUUAACAUAUGUUAACUUUUAUAUCUACAACUAUAUAUAUUAUCUUAUUUUGUAUGCUUUUUUGAACUCACAGCUAUGUAUCUUUUUCGGAUUGUUCUUCAUCGUUUUUUUUUUUGAAAUUAAGAUCCGCUUGAAUAUUACAAAUUUAUGUGUGGAUUUUGAGUUGGGUUCUUCUGAGUCUGGAUGAGUUCGGUUCUGUUGUAUAUGAAUCUAAAAAUAUCUAAAUAACAAAUGUAUCUCAAAUGAGUUCAGAUAUUUGUACCAAAAAUAACCAUAUUACACAAUUUUGUCGAGGUCUUUUUAAUACAAUUAGUUAUAUUACGAAUCAUCUAAAAUAUAUAAAGCUAAUUAUGAAAAACAAAUAUCAAAGUAUAAAAAUGUAAUAUAUGCGCGCAUUAUGUAUACCAAUUCUACUAACACUCCUAUUGCUAUUACAUCCGAAGUAGAACCAGCCUCAAUCUGUGUCUAUUGAUUCAAUUGAACAGAUAAUUUUCAACUCCCAUCCUAAAUAAUAAUACACAUAAACAUUCUCAAAAUUGGUUGUUAUCUCAGAAGCAAAAUUAUAAAGAUUAAAACCCUGAAAAUAUAACCUCAAAUGCCACCAAAUUAAACCUCAGAUAUGGACCUCACUUCAAUCUCAUUCCAGUCUUCUACUUGCUUCUUUAUCACCUUCUUAUCGUUUUUAUCAUAAAUAGCAAGAGGCAGGUCAUCUUGAAACAUACUGAAAUAAAACAUCAAGAUAUAAUUUAGAAAUAAGAUCUUCGCAUUGUUAAUGGAAAUAAGUGUUUUGGAUAUAGUUCUAUUUACUUUUGCUUAAAGUCAAUAGCUUUUUGCAUAGUUGGGUUGCGAGUCACAACAGAAGCAUCAAAUGCAUUGGUAAUUUUUAUAGAUCCUAAUUGGCAUGAAAGGCACAUUUUAUAUACUGAUAUAAAACUAGUUUUCGAAAUCAUUUUUAUUGACGGUUUAAUACCUCUGAAAAUGCUACUUUUAGGAAAAGGAAUCAAACAUAUUAACAUUUGAUCAUUUCCUGAUUCAAUGUGAGGUUCAAAUUGUUCAAACAUAUUUUCUCCAUAGGCAACAUGUAUAACAUCAAAACCACUACUCGGUAUCAUAAAGUAAAUAUAGUUGUACUAGGAUUAUUGUUUAAAAUUUUAUCACGUUUCUAGUAAAAUCAGAACAAACUCACUUAGUGUCACACAUCCGAAUUGAAGUAUAUUUGAGUCUUUGUCAUGAACUUUCACGGUUUGAACUCUUCCAAGUUCAAACACUUCACCAAUGAUAUUUAAAAAAACAUAAACUAGAUCAAAGAGUAUACAAAAUGAAAUUAUCACCAACAGAAACACACUAUGGUAUAUUUAAAAUGUGUAUAAUUUCAAUUCAUACCAAUUAGGAGGUACGUUUUCAGUUUUCCAUUACCAAAAUCAUCAUAACUCGCUAGCGUAAAAAAUGAUUGUCAUCAUGAUAAUCGGUUUUGGCAUAAAUUGUGUCACCAAUGAUAGUCAUUUUGUAUUGGGAAGUUGUUCGAUAUUGAUCUCCAGCAGCCGUAACUGUAAAAUUCUCAAUGAAUCUCCAUUCUCCAAUAGGGAGGUUACGUUGCGCACGAUACAUCUGGUUUAUUUUUGCAAAAGCAUGAAGUUUUCCACCCUAAUCACACACAAAAAUUGAUAUAAAUAUUUUUGGUGGUAAACAUCAAGAAAUCUAUAUAGAUAUAAAAUUACAACAAUAUUACAAUAGUUAAUUAAUUAAUGUUAUGAAAUUUAUGAUCAGGAAAUGUUUGUUUGUGCAAUUCUAAAAGCAAAUGAUGAAUGGAUUUGUUAGAAUUUUGAUGAGGAGCACAUUGCUGACAAAUUGGAUUAUAUAGAAUUUUGAUGAUCUUCUAACUGAUAAACAUUUGUCAUUUGUUGUUGCUAGAAGGUGAUCAAAUGAUGUUAUUGGAUAAAGGUUGAGGGAGAAAUCGGAUGAUUUGAUAAUGCACUUUCAUAUGAAACUCAAGGUAUGCAGAAACAUGCUCAAACCAGAUUAAUAAAUUAGCUCCGGUUAUAAGGAAGCGUUGGAUAUUUGUAAUUUUGAAUGAGAAAUACCCAAGGAUAGCACUAAAAAAUUUUUGGUCACAAAUAUAGAUUCUAAGAAUCAAAAUAACCAAAAUGUUUCAUUAAAGAGGUAAAUAUACAUUUAUACCCUAGGGUUAACUAAUCCAAACCUUAAGGUUUAGAGUUAAGGGGUGGAGAUUUGGGAUUGAGUUUAAAAUUUUAUAAAAUAAAAAAUAAAUAUUAAAAAUUUGAAAAUAAAAAUUUUAAAAAUAGUUUCAAAAAGUAUUUUCGAAUUACAAAAAGAAAUUCUGAAAAAAAAAUUCAAAAAAAAUUCAAAAAAAAAGAAAAAUUUAUAAAAAAGUUUGAAUAUGAAAAAAUAUAUUCUAAAACUAUAAAAAAAAUUUGUUUUUUUUUUAUUUUUUUUUAUUUUUUAUAUCUUGGGUAUUAUGGUCUUUUUACCUAUUAAAUGAAACAUUUUGGUCAUUUUCCUUCUUGUGGUCUACUUUUGUGCGUCUAUUUAUGAGAAUUGCCCUAAAUUAUUUUAGAUCAAAUAUUUAGAUAGGGAAUCAAUAAUUAUUUUUAGUAUUUGUGGUGUUUUUUUUAACGUCUGAUUAAUUAUGCUAUUACAACGAGGAGAAAUAUUACAUAGACGAUUCUAUAGCCGACAAUUCUACCAUCAUAUGAGAAUGCACGUCUGACUGCAUCACUCCGAGCCGCCCUAUGAGAUCCUUGUUCGAUGAUACACCCUUGCACUAUGUUGAAGACCUCUUGUAACCUUUUUUUCUCUAUGAUCUGCAUAAUUUGCGUUUUCUGGGGUUUGAACCCCAUACCUCCUGGUGUAGAAUCAUUAAUGAACCCUUAGUUAAACCCUGGACUAAGGAGUUUCCACAAGUAUUUUUGGUGUUUUAAGUAUACUUUUACUAUUGAUCAUUUGUAUAUAUUUUCAAGUAUUUAAACCACCUUAAAAGUAUCAUAUAUAUUCAGAUGUUUUUAUAUAUAAUAAAUCUAAAAAUAAUUAAUAUAUAUAAGUAUAUAAAUCUAUUUCACAUACAUUCGGGUAUCCAAUAUACUUCGGUUCGGAUUGGAUUCGGUUCUCCAAAAACUAAAAUUUUGAAUAAUUCAGAUAUUUAAUCAAUUUUAGUUUGGGUUUGAUACUAUUCUUUCGGAUCAAGAUCGGUUCUUCAGAUUCGGGUAUUUUGUCUAACUCUUAUAUUAUUGACAUAAAAAACAAAUAAAAACAUAUUUUUGAAAAUAUACCCUUGCCGGUGCGCGGAUCAAAUUCUAGUUAUUAUUAUGUUACAGGUCAUGAAUCAGUAUAUUUUUUUUUUGGUAAAAAUGAAUCAAAAUAAUUCCGUAACAGAAACAAAACAUAUUGCUGAAAAAAAAAAACAUCUAAUAACUUAUGUCAAUUUUCUUUUUCUAUACAAUUUUCCACAGUUAUUUUUGUUCUCCUGUUGUUGAUCUUGAAGCUGAGUUUGUGGUGAAAAAAAAAAA
Molecule: long non-coding RNA, 3687 nt
Organism: Brassica rapa (field mustard)
Lineage: Eukaryota; Viridiplantae; Streptophyta; Magnoliopsida; Brassicales; Brassicaceae
Source: RefSeq, a predicted model, not a curated record